UCGGAAUCACUGGGCGUAAAGGGUACGUAGGCGGCGUCAUAAGUCGUGCGUGAAAGGCAGGGGCUCAACCUCUGGAGUGCGCGUGAUACUGUGAUGCUGGAGUAAUGGAGGGGGAACCGGAAUUCUUGGUGUAGCUGUGAAAUGCGUAGAUAUCAAGAAGAAGACUCGUGGCGAAGGCGGGUUCCUGGACAUUUACUGACGCUGAGGUACGAAGGCUAGGGUAGCGAAAGGGAUUAGAUACCCCUGUAGUCCUAGCAGUAAACGGUGCAUGCUUGGUGUGCGGGGAAUCGACCCCCUGCGUGCCGGAGUUAACACGUUAAGCAUGCCGCCUGGGGAGUACGGUCGCAAGAUUAAAACUCAAAGAAAUUGACGGGGACCCGCACAAGCGGUGGAGUAUGUGGCUUAAUUCGAUGCAACGCGAAGAACCUUACCAAGGCUUGACAUCCCGUGACCGCCCAUGAAAGUGGGUUUUCUAUUCGUAGACACGGAGACAGGUGCUGCAUGGCCGUCGUCAGCUCGUGUCGUGAGAUGUUUGGUUAAGUCCAGCAACGAGCGCAACCCCUGCUGCCAGUUACCAUCAUUAAGUUGGGGACUCUGGCGGGACUGCCCAGAUCAACUGGGAGGAAGGUGGGGACGACGUCAGGUCAGUAUGGCCCUUAUGCCUUGGGCUGCACACGUACUACAAUGCCCAGUACAGAGGGAAGCCAACCCGCGAGGGUGAGCGGAUCCCGAAAAGUGGGCCCAGGUUCGGGAUUGGAGGCUGCAACUCGCCUCCAUGAAGGCCGGAAUCGCUAGUAAUGGCGCAUCAGC
Molecule: ribosomal RNA, 810 nt
Filed under: uncultured bacterium
Lineage: Bacteria
Description: bacterial SSU rRNA
Rfam family: Bacterial small subunit ribosomal RNA
Source: RNAcentral